UGCGUAGGGAACCCGGGUGAAAGCCUGGGGUGCCCCGCGAGGGGAGCCCUAGCACAGGUGCUGCAUGGCCGUCGUCAGCUCGUGCCGUGAGGUGUUGGGUUAAGUCCCGCAACGAGCGCAACCCCCGCCGUUAGUUGCCAGCGGUUCGGCCGGGCACUCUAACGGGACUGCCCGCGAAAGCGGGAGGAGGAGGGGACGACGUCUGGUCAGCAUGGCCCUUACGGCCUGGGCGACACACGUGCUACAAUGCCCACUACAAAGCGAUGCCACCCGGCAACGGGGAGCUAAUCGCAAAAAGGUGGGCCCAGUUCGGAUUGGGGUCUGCAACCCGACCCCAUGAAGCCGGAAUCGCUAGUAAUCGCGGAUCAGCCAUGCCGCGGUGAAUACGUUCCCGGGCCUU
This 400-nucleotide ribosomal RNA is filed under the name uncultured Thermus sp. Its description in RNAcentral is "bacterial SSU rRNA". It matches the Rfam family "Bacterial small subunit ribosomal RNA", at positions 985 to 1382 of the family's 1533-position model. Lineage: Bacteria; Thermotogati; Deinococcota; Deinococci; Thermales; Thermaceae. The record is from RNAcentral.